Suncus etruscus (white-toothed pygmy shrew) is the source of this 136-nucleotide small nuclear RNA. RefSeq annotates it as U4 spliceosomal RNA. NCBI's taxonomy places the organism in Eukaryota, Metazoa, Chordata, Mammalia, Eulipotyphla, Soricidae. The transcript has a single exon. The record is from RefSeq and is a predicted model, not a curated record.
AGCUUUGUGCAGAAGCAGUAUCAUAGCCAAUGAGGUUUAUCCAAUGUGUGAUUAUUGCUAAUUGUAAAUGAUUUCAAAAUAUUUUUCAUGGACUGUAUGUGUGUCAUGCAAAAAUGUUUUCUAACAUAUAAGUAUU